Clupea harengus (Atlantic herring) is the source of this 1118-nucleotide long non-coding RNA. Lineage: Eukaryota; Metazoa; Chordata; Actinopteri; Clupeiformes; Clupeidae. The record is from Ensembl.
GCCCUUUUUUUGCCUCUUAGGCGGUCAGGACGUCUCCCAUUCUCCCGAGGUGUACAGCUUGUGCCAGAUAACGACCAACAGAAGAAGCGUCUCUGGGGCGGAAAUCAGAGCCCACGGCUGAGGGAAUUCAUUAAUUUGGACGCAGCAGCAAUCCGGGUGACCCUGGGUGUCAGCACACCACAGUGACAGUGAGAGGAGGGAGCCUUAAUGUCGGAGCCCAAAUGGAAUUGUGGUUUCUGUAGUUUUGUUUAUUUAUUUGUUUGUUUGUUUGUCUCUAUAAAAAGCCCUUAUAUAAACCAGGUAUUCAACAAAGUUUAGCACGUUUAGACAAGUGGUACAGUCUACAUGGUACAUAGAGUACAUAGACGUCAAAAGAAAGUACCACCGAAACGAAUGGAACGACAAGUGGUCUGCAGAUUUACACUGUACACGACUUACAAAUCUAACUAACGAACGUGUCGCCCGAGCGCUUGAAUACAAUGCAAUUUUUUUUUUUUUUAUGUGACUAUAUGAGCGUGUGUCUACCAUACAGAUCAAUGGUCAACCCAUAACAGAGCGCAAGCUUCACACAGCAAGACAUCGUAAAUGGGGGAAGGAAGGGGCUGGGGAAAGUGAGAGUGCAUCGAAAGUUUGGAAGCACGACGUCACUGUUGUUGGUCUGUGUCAAAUGCUACAUGUUUGACGCAACCUGAAAUACUAAUACAGUACAAAAAAGAAAAAAAAACAAACAAACAAGAAGAAUUUCAUACACAUCAGUAUAUAUUGCUGAAGAUUGGACCACAAGUAUGUCUACCUGGUUGCAUUCGGAAAACGCAGGUAGAAUACUUGUGCUCUAGAAAGAAGUCUUACAAAGAACAGUCAUUUAGCUCUUGUCGGAGUGCCACACACACAGGCAUAAAUCACUGGAGAUUGAGUAAGCACGCGGCUCUGAUGUCCCACGGUCCUUUUGACACAGGAGAGAGGUUGCUACAUAUACAGAAGUGGCGCCGCCAGAAAGUCUAACAUUCACAGAGGUCUGCGUGUACUCAAUCUCUUAUGAUUCCUGUGUUUUUUUUUUUGGUCCUGUAACCUAUCCUAAGAAUGGAUAAGGUCCUUUAAAAAGUAUGCCCCUUCACAGA